UUCGCAAUGCCCGAAAGGGUGACGAAGCGACGCCGCGUGUGGGAAGAAGGCCUUCGGGUUGUAAACCACUGUCGGGAGUUAAGAAAUAUAAGGAUGUUAAUAGCGUCCUUACUUGACUAAGGCUCCGGAGGAAGCCACGGCUAACUCUGUGCCAGCAGCCGCGGUAAUACAGAGGCGGCAAGCGUUGUUCGGAAUUAUUGGGCGUAAAGAGCACGUAGGCGGCCCUGCAAGUCAGCUGUGAAAUCCUUCUGCUCAACGGAAGAACGGCAGUUGAUACUAUGGGGCUCGAGUGCGGGAGGGGAGAGUGGAACUUCUGGUGGAGCGGUGAAAUGCGUAGAUAUCAGAAGGAACGCCGGCGGCGAAAGCGACUCUCUGGCCCGUAACUGACGCUGAGUGUGCGAAAGCUAGGGGAGCAAACGGGAUUAGAUACCCCGGUAGUCCUAGCCGUAAACGAUGGGCACUAAGUAGAGGGGUUUUA
Molecule: ribosomal RNA, 478 nt
Filed under: uncultured Planctomycetales bacterium
Lineage: Bacteria; Pseudomonadati; Planctomycetota; Planctomycetia; Planctomycetales
Description: bacterial SSU rRNA
Rfam family: Bacterial small subunit ribosomal RNA
Source: RNAcentral